GGAUUGUGACUCAGUGGUAGAGUGCUUGCCUAGCACGUGUGAGGCACUGGGUUCAAUCCUCAGCACCA
This 68-nucleotide transfer RNA is filed under the name Marmota monax (woodchuck). Its description in RNAcentral is "tRNA.Ala". The record is from RNAcentral. Lineage: Eukaryota; Metazoa; Chordata; Mammalia; Rodentia; Sciuridae.